Molecule: non-coding RNA, 79 nt
Organism: Hysterangium stoloniferum
Lineage: Eukaryota; Fungi; Basidiomycota; Agaricomycetes; Hysterangiales; Hysterangiaceae
Source: the annotation of a GenBank genome assembly
AGUCAGGUGGUGUAAUUGGUAACAUCCUUGCUAUAUACAUAUGCAGAAGAAGCCCUGGGUUCAAUCCCCAGUCUGGCCA